Ixodes scapularis (black-legged tick) is the source of this 82-nucleotide non-coding RNA. NCBI's taxonomy places the organism in Eukaryota, Metazoa, Arthropoda, Arachnida, Ixodida, Ixodidae. The record is from Rfam.
GCAGUCGCGGCCGAGUGGUUAAGGCGAUGGACUAGAAAUGUAUUGGGGUCUCCCCACACAGGUUAGAAUCCCGUCGACUGCG